UUGAGGCCUAUGGGAUCUCGAUUAGCUUCUGUACACCGCCGAUCAUCGACGCCCGUCGCAGGCGAAUUGGAGUGAAGCCACCCUUAUUGCCCUCGGUGGAGACUGGAGAGCGAACAUGGGAUGGGAGGGUGUGGUGCAAGGUCGAAACCCUCCUAUUUUUUCUGUUUUCCUCCGCUAAAGAUUUCAAUUUUUUUUGUUGGUACAACGAUUUCAAUUU
RNAcentral lists this long non-coding RNA (217 nucleotides) under Elaeis guineensis (African oil palm). RNAcentral describes it as "long non-coding RNA (EGUI_LNC080509)". Lineage: Eukaryota; Viridiplantae; Streptophyta; Magnoliopsida; Arecales; Arecaceae. The record is from RNAcentral.